AGGAUUAUGUCUGCUGUUUACCCCGUGGGAUGCAGACAGAGACCACGAAGUUACAGAGCCCUCUCCAUCUUCACUCCCCCGUUCAGGGCUCCUGGCUGAGUCCCGACUGUGUGUGAAGUCACGCCCUCUGAAGAGGAGCAUUCGCAUCCACAUCUGACCCCCUAUUUUUAAUGGGACAAAUGGAUUCCUUGAAUGAGCCCUUUCUACCAUCCAAGUGUGGGCCAAGACUUCCGCCCAGGCCUCCUGAUUCCCACAGACACAGCAAUAUUAAGAUUAGGUCAUUUUUCUUUUCUUUUUCUUUUUCUUUUUUUUGACUGAGUCUUGCUCUGUCAUCCAGGAUAGAGUGCAGUGGCACAAUCUUGGCUCACUG
RNAcentral lists this non-coding RNA (370 nucleotides) under Pan troglodytes (chimpanzee). The record is from RNAcentral. Lineage: Eukaryota; Metazoa; Chordata; Mammalia; Primates; Hominidae.